This 329-nucleotide unclassified non-coding RNA is filed under the name soil metagenome. Its description in RNAcentral is "partial contains 5.8S ribosomal RNA, internal transcribed spacer 2, and large subunit ribosomal RNA". The stretch from base 1 to 120 matches the Rfam family "5.8S ribosomal RNA", at positions 35 to 154 of the family's 154-position model. The record is from RNAcentral.
GAUGAAGAACGUAGCGAAAUGCAAUAAGUAGUGUGAAUUGCAGAAUUCCGUGAAUCAUCGAAUCUUUGAACGCACAUUGCGCCCCCUGGUAUUCCGGGGGGCAUGCCUGUCCGAGCGUCAUUACAACCCUCAAGCUCAGCUUGGUGUUGGGCCCCGCCGCCCCGGCGGGCCCUAAAGUCAGUGGCGGUGCCGUCCGGCUCCGAGCGUAGUAAUUCUUCUCGCUCUGGAGGUCCGGUCGUGUGCUCGCCAGCAACCCCCAAUUUUUUUCAGGUUGACCUCGGAUCAGGUAGGGAUACCCGCUGAACUUAAGCAUAUCAAUAAGCGGAGGA